This 382-nucleotide long non-coding RNA is filed under the name Olea europaea subsp. europaea. Lineage: Eukaryota; Viridiplantae; Streptophyta; Magnoliopsida; Lamiales; Oleaceae. The record is from RNAcentral.
CCGAUGAGUACUAGCUUGAAGUUAGGUCGUGAUCCUUCUGGUAAGAGUGUAGAUCCUUCCCUAUAUCGUAGCAUGAUAGGUAGUCUUCUCUAUCUUACAGCUACUAGGCCCGACAUUGCUUUUAGUGUAGGAGUGUGUGCUCGUUUUCAGGCAGAUCCAAAAGAGUCACACCUAAGUUCUGUUAGACGAAUCAUUCGAUAUGUGAGUGGUACUGCGGAUCUAGGGAUUUUCUAUUCUAGGAGUUCCAAUCUUGACUUGGCUGGAUACUCCGACGCCGAUUGGGCCGGAAAUGCAGAUGAUAGGAAAAGUACGACCGGGGGUUGUUUUUACAUGGGUAGCAAUCUCGUAGCUUGGCUAAGUAAGAAACAAAACUCAAUAUCCU